This 21-nucleotide unclassified non-coding RNA is filed under the name Dictyostelium discoideum. Lineage: Eukaryota; Evosea; Eumycetozoa; Dictyosteliales; Dictyosteliaceae. The record is from RNAcentral.
CAAGUAAUGUUGCAUCAGGUA